UAAUGGCAGGUCAGCAUACUGCCGUGAAUACGUUCCCGGGCCUUGUACACACCGCCCGUCACACCAUGAGAGUUGGAGAUACCCGAAGCCUGUGAGCUAACAGAAAUGGAGCAGCAGUCGAAGGUAGAAUCAAUGAUUGGGGUGAAGUCGUAACAAGGUAGC
RNAcentral lists this ribosomal RNA (162 nucleotides) under uncultured bacterium. Its description in RNAcentral is "partial 16S ribosomal RNA". It matches the Rfam family "Bacterial small subunit ribosomal RNA", at positions 1339 to 1500 of the family's 1533-position model. The record is from RNAcentral.